RNAcentral lists this ribosomal RNA (747 nucleotides) under Triticum aestivum (bread wheat). RNAcentral's name for it is "partial small subunit ribosomal RNA". Lineage: Eukaryota; Viridiplantae; Streptophyta; Magnoliopsida; Poales; Poaceae. The record is from RNAcentral.
AUGGGAGGGCAUUUCGGUUUCCCAGUGACUUAUCGUCGCAUCCGCGGGCUGUUUGCAUGGCCCAAAAUGAAGACACAUGUUCAACAAUACGUGCGCUGCUGUCAGGUAUGUCAACAAGCAAAACCAGAUAGAUCAGCUUCCCCGGAUCUCCUGAUGCCUCUACCAAUCCCUCGCGAGUCUUGGGAUCUCAUUACCAUGGAUUUUGUGGACGGACUGCCGCAAUCAGGGCAGUUCAACUGCCUGCGGAUGGUCGUGGAUAAGCGCACGAGGUUUGCCCAUUUUCUUCCUCUGGCGCACCCCUAUACUGCUGCCAAAGUGGUUGUUCUGUAUAUGCAACAAUUAUACAAGCUGCACGGAUUCCCUGGAGCCAUUGUGUCUGACCGAGACCCGGUGUUUACCAGCCAUUUUUGGCGAGAGUUGUUCAAGUAUGCAGGAACGGAGCUGCGCAUGAGCACGGCGAAUCACCCACAAACAGAUGGUCAAACGGAGAGAGUCAACCAGUGCAUCAAGACCUACCUGAGGUGUUUCGUUCAAGCAUGUCCCAAGAAAUGGAGCUUUUGGAUACCAUUGGCACAGUUUUGGUAUAAUUCAUCAUACCACUCUGCAAUAGGCAUGACUCCUUUCAAGGCAAUGUUCGGGUGGGAGCCCAGGCACUGGGGAAUCAUGGCGACCACUUCCUGCACGGUAUCGGCGCUGCAGUCCUGGCUUGAAGAGCGCAAGGUGAUGCAAGGGGUGAUCAUCGGCUAG